UCUGUCCUUCCAUUAUACCGAUGCAUAACGGGUGAAGAAUCCUAACAGGCGAAUCUUUGUUAACUUUUGAUCUUAAUUUUUGAAAUUGAACCCUCCAGGGAAAAACCAAAACUAUAGUUUUUAAUUGACUAUCCCUACAAAGUUUCUGAUCCAGUGCCAAUGGAGCAUCAAUUCAACCCCUUCAACAUCUUGAAAAAUCUCGAAUUUGCAUCCUGGGUGUCAUGCAGACCACAACUUCAAGAGUUUACUAGCCUCGCAUCAAUCACACAUUCUUCGAUGAUCUAACAUAAGGUAGAAAGCCAUCGAGAAUACUUUAUCGGGUUGCUCCGACUAGCAAUCCACAAUAUUUCAAAUUGCAACAUGGAUCAAAGGUGUGUUCUAAAACUGAAAGUAAGGUCCUUUAGAUGAGGAAGCGUACGGGUCUGGAUAAAGUAUACAGGUACCAAUCCGGACCUGUCAAGGUUGUGUUGCGGCUUUCAAAUUGUUGCUGCACGGAUUCAGAACCUACAAAUCAGUAGACAAAUGGUGGAAUGGAGACAUGAAGUGCGUCCAGUCUCCUAAAUGCGUGUUUCAAGUAAAAACAAUGACAACAAUGACGAUAUGAAUUUCUUCACAUGGUUAUUGUUUGUAGAUUUGAUUUGGAUAUUCGAAUUGGGUAUUAUCUGUUGCUUUUGGGGUUUUCUGAUUGUCUUUAUGUGUGCACACCUGCCAGCUACUGAAUAAUGAUGGCCACUCUUGGUACUUGCUCUGUUAUAGUCCCUUGGCACAAGUUCAAAUUCAUAAACUUAAAAGAUUUUUGCUCUAGAAUCACCAGCACAUGUUUAAUAGGUCUGAUAUCUCCAAAUCUCUCAAGUACAGAUGUUGCAUAGAGUAAUUAGGCAGUUUUUUUCUUUUUUGAAUGAAACUCAUUUAAACAGACAAAAGAUGGGUGUGACGUACGUGCUAAAAAUAUCAAAUUGAUGUUAGUCCAUGUUCUUUAUUCUUAAACGAGAAGAACUUAGAUAUGUUAUAUUUUUUUAUUUUUUAUUUUUUUGCUUGCUAGAAAUUGUAUUUCAAAAUGUUAUGAUUAUAAAAAACUCGAUUCAAGUUAAUAUUUGAUUUCUGAUGUGUUCAUUUUUCAGGCAUAUCAUUUUAGUACAUUGAUCCGUUACACAUCAGAGAACUGAUUCUACUAACAAAGCCAGUGGAACUCACUACAAAGUCCACCCCGGAAUCUAACAAGUACUUAGGAUGCAAGACCACUCCACCAUACAUAGUGGUCAGUGGCCAUGAAAAAAGGAAAAACGCUUACUGAGAUUUUGGAUACUGAGAAAAAGAAACUAUUACCCAGCUCAUCCAUAUGAAAUGGGACCUCUCCUACCCCGUGAGUUUAGCAGUCAAGUCCAUGUAGGUGAAACCAUUUUCCCCCGUCAAACCACCCACUUAAUUUUAUUUUCUCUAUUAAUGUACAACACAUGCAUACAAGCAGCAAUGACUACAUGAAAAGAGCCAGCACUACGAAAAUAUUAAUGGAUAUAAUAGUUGGUACCAUCUUGCUUGCCGUUGAUGUAACAAGGAAGUUCUUGGUGAGGAUGGUGACCUCUGUUGCACUAAAUGUAAGAGUAAAGGGGACCUUUCUGUCGCUAGGUUAACAAAUUCAAUAUAUAUUAGAGUAUCUUAGUUUGUCGAUAAGUAUCCACCCGUAUUUAGUUAAUAUGAUCAUGUCAUCUUAGUUUGUUGAUAAGUAUCCACCCGUAUUUAGUUAAUAUGAUCAUGUCAUGUUUGCAACACAGGUUUCUGUCUAUGCUUUGUUCCAUCGUUUUUGUAUCUCAGCACAGUGAGGUUCGGAAGAUGUUUCUCCCAGCUCAUCCAAGCUCUUGAGCGGGUCUGAGGUAAAUAAAAAUUGUGCACGAACCCGUGAAUUUCCAAAUUACCAUGAACUCCUUCAACAUGAAGCAGAAUAUCCGCCCCAGCGCGUCAAAACUCUUGAGCGGGUUUCAGUUAACCUAGAACACUAGGCUAUAUUAUUUCAAGCAAACAGACUGUCUGAAGUGUUAGGACGCUCAAAUUAUUCGGGAAUUAGCAAAGGAUGCAGUCGUAUCUGGCAUGUUGCCCACUCUGCACCAACCUGUGUAUUUCCUAAUUAAUCUGAACUUCUUCAACGUGAAGUGGAAUUUUGCGACCUGCUCAA
Long non-coding RNA from Papaver somniferum (opium poppy), 2170 nucleotides. RefSeq lists it as uncharacterized. NCBI's taxonomy places the organism in Eukaryota, Viridiplantae, Streptophyta, Magnoliopsida, Ranunculales, Papaveraceae. The transcript is spliced from 6 exons. The record is from RefSeq and is a predicted model, not a curated record.